This 73-nucleotide transfer RNA is filed under the name Stegodyphus mimosarum. It matches the Rfam family "tRNA". From Rfam's summary of the family: Transfer RNA (tRNA) molecules are approximately 80 nucleotides in length. The record is from Rfam by way of RNAcentral. Lineage: Eukaryota; Metazoa; Arthropoda; Arachnida; Araneae; Eresidae.
GCCUUCGUGGUGCAGUGGUCAGCACGCUCGGUGCGUAUUCAAGAGGUCAGUGGUUCGAGUCCCGGCGAGGGCA